Molecule: ribosomal RNA, 1863 nt
Filed under: Triticum aestivum (bread wheat)
Lineage: Eukaryota; Viridiplantae; Streptophyta; Magnoliopsida; Poales; Poaceae
Description: partial small subunit ribosomal RNA
Source: RNAcentral
AUGAACGACGCAUUUGGUUCCGCGCGGGUAACUGCUAGGCGCCGGUGCGCCGACCCAAGUUUGGGCCGGUCACGCGCUAGCCGUCUGACUGACUACUGCAUAGUCGGUAGAUGGGGCUCGUUCCUCGGCCGUCUUUCUCGCACCGCACGUGAAUCUGAGAAAGAAAAGAAGGGAGCCAUGGUGGGCCCUUCCCCCUCCUCUGAAUUGCGCACGCACGUCACAUCCCAUCGUCGUCGACUCGCCGCCGACGCUCGCCCCUCUCCGCUACUGCCCAUCCCUCCCUCCUCGCCCACCUGCAGAAUCCGUAGCGAUGACGCCCUGGAUCGCAUCCAAAAACAACGCACUUGGUUGGCCGUGGUCACCGCCCGUCGCCUGCCCAUUGUAGCUCCUCCGUCCGCCGGUUGCAGCUCCCGUGUGGCCGGUUGCAGCUCUCCCGACGGUAAGAAAGAGACGUGUGCAUGUGGACCCUCAUGGCCGCGUGACGCGUGCGUGGCCGAGCGACCGGCGGAGCGUUCGGCCGGCCUGCCGCAGUCCAUGCUCCCGCAUAGGCCGUUGCCUGAAGAUGUGAUAGUUAGCCCAUUUUCUCGCGGAUCCACGGGCCAUUCGCUAAGGCGCCAGCGGCCACGCAGCCCUAGUUUCCAUUCCUCGCUCGACGCCGCCGCCGCCGCCUCCCUCCGGCCGUCGCGCGCCAUAUCUUGCUAUGAUCUCCCCAGCCGGACGCCGGCCGAGAGGCUCACCGAUGACGUCCUCGUGGAGAUCCUCUCGCGCGUCCCCGCCAAGGAGCUGUGCCGCUGCAAGUGCGUCUGUAAGCACUGGCUCGGCCUCAUCCACCACCCCGACCACCGCAAAAGUCUCCCCCAAACCCUGGCCGGCUUCUUCUACGGCAGCAGCACCACCGGCGAGCGGCUUCUUGAACCGCCCUUCCACUUCACCACCCUCUCAGGGGACCGCCGUCCUCCAUUUGAUACCUCCUUCACUUUCCUGCCCAACCACCGCCCGCCGCGCGUCGAUCUGCUGGACUCCUGCAACGGCCUCCUCCUCUGCCGCCGCUACGACGUUUCCGAUGGGGUUGUCGCAUUCCGUUAUGUCGUGUGCAAUCCCGCCACCGAGAAGUGGGUUGUGUUGCCCAACUCCGGCAAGGCCACUGGCGAGGUGGCCACCACAUGUCUGGGCUUCGACCCGGCCCUAUCGUCGCAUUCCCAUGUGUUUGAGUUGGUACAUGAGCACAAUUAUAGUCAGGACACUGAUCUUUCCGGAGUGGCAGUGUAUUCGUCUGAAACUGGAGAGUGGGUUUAUAAGGAGGAGAGAUGGAUCGGAGAAGCUACCUGGCUCGCUAAUCGGCACUCCUCGGCAAGUGUAUUUCUUAAUGGCCUUCUGUUUUUUUGUGCCUUUGACCUCGAGUUAUUCGAGUAUGUAGCUGCAGUCGACACAAAGGGAGAAACGUGGAUGAAAUUCAGUGUCCCUGGUGGUGAGGUUAAUGAUUUUGGUCUGGCUGAUGGUUUUAUUCAGCGGUCGCAGGGCCGCUUGCACUAUGCCAGUUUUCAGAGGGAUAAAAAUGGUGUUGCCAUCCGAUUUGUAGUUUAUGUUCUGGAGAACUAUCAAGGCGAACCUUGGAUAUUGAAGCAUAGCAUUGAAACUUCAAACAUAUUUGGAUGGAGAGAUUUAUACCUUGAUGGGCAUUUUGAUUUUAUUGCAAUUCAUCCGAAAUGUGACUUGGUUUUCAUCAUUGCGGGGGGUAUCACAUUCAUGUGCUAUAAUAUGGAUAAUCGGCAAGUCAACGUGAUAUCCUAUCUGCCAGGUGCCAAGCAGCUAUUUUUGCCUUAUGUGCCGUUGUUCACAGAGUCACAGUCAUUGCACAUUUGA